AUUCCAAAAAGUUGUGCCAAAUACGGCUAAGGUAAUCUAUGCCUGGGAUAAGAAAAUCCUUAGUUUUACGAAAAAUUCAAAGUUUUGUAAACAGAAAAUUUAUAAAAAUGACCCCAUUGUUGAUAUUUGUUAAGUUGUCCGAUAUUUUUUGAUUUUUAUUGGGGACCGUGUUGUCGAAUAUUUAGUUUUGCUGUGUAGAAUUUUGUAGACUCUUGUUUGUUUUGUUCUGACUAUGAUUCUAUCAAUAUUUUACACGACUUUAGAUUUAUUAUAACUUUAUUGACACCUAUUUCCUCGGGGUUUUAGUUCCUUUUUACCUGAAGUUUUGUCUUCUCCGAGACUUAUAUAUAUUCGUAACACUUUAAUAAUAAUCAUCGACCUCAUGUAGUUUCACCAAAAAAAUGGAUAAUUGUUUUAUCACUGUAAAUAAAGGUAAUUUUAGUUCAAUAGUCAUUUUAAAUUAAAAUAAUCCGGGUCACAAACAAAAGCCGUGUGAAACACAUCAUGUAAGAGAAAAAAAACGGAACAACAGAAGCACUGAACUGCUAAUAAAACAAACGCCAACAUACAUACAAACGGACUAUUUGAUAAAAUCUGCCAUAUUCCUGAGUUGGUACAGGACAUGUUUGACACAAAAUGGAGGGUUGAACCUGGUUUUAUGACUAGCCAAACCUUCCGUUUUAAUAUCCAAAUUGAAAAUACGGCUACCAUGACACUGUACGUGUCUGACAGGAAUACAGUACAAAAAAUGCUAGAACACUCAUGAUGGAGAAUUAUACAAAUAAGCAACAAAAUAGUGCAUUUCAACAUGUAAACCACAUAUUAACAACGAACAGCUGAAAUUGAUUUAUGACAAUACAUUAGUAAAGUAUGAACUGUGCGUCUCACUAAUGUAUCUACGCCACAGGUUAAAUUUCUAAAAAAAUCAUUUAAAAUUGGGAUUAAUUUGGUAAUGGUGUUAUUUGAUGUUUUUUCUAGUCAUUACAAGAAUGUAAAUAUAGAAUUGUAUAAUUAAUGUUGUACUUAUUUGUAUUUUCGAACCAUAUGUCUUAAUCAAACUGUGUAAAAACAAAUAAAUCCUGUAAUUAAUGUU
Molecule: long non-coding RNA, 1093 nt
Filed under: Mytilus galloprovincialis (Mediterranean mussel)
Lineage: Eukaryota; Metazoa; Mollusca; Bivalvia; Mytilida; Mytilidae
Source: RNAcentral